This 389-nucleotide ribosomal RNA is filed under the name Clostridiales bacterium. RNAcentral's name for it is "bacterial SSU rRNA". It matches the Rfam family "Bacterial small subunit ribosomal RNA", at positions 1 to 375 of the family's 1533-position model. The record is from RNAcentral. Lineage: Bacteria; Bacillati; Bacillota; Clostridia; Eubacteriales.
CUGAGAGUUUGAUCCUGGCUCAGGACGAACGCUGGCGGCGUGCCUAACACAUGCAAGUCGAGCGGAGCGAUUUUUCGGAAGUUUUCGGACGGAAGGAGGAGAGCUUAGCGGCGGACGGGUGAGUAACGCGUGGGCAAUCUGCCUUUUACAGGGGGAUAACACAGGGAAACUUGUGCUAAUACCGCAUAAAACUGUUUUGCGGCAUCGCAGAGCAGCCAAAGGAGCAAUCCGGUGAGAGAGGAGCCCGCGUCUGAUUAGCUAGUUGGUGAGGUAACGGCCCACCAAGGCGACGAUCAGUAGCCGAACUGAGAGGUUGAACGGCCACAUUGGGACUGAGACACGGCCCAGACUCCUACGGGAGGCAGCAGUGGGGAAUAUUGCGCAAUGGG